Molecule: small nuclear RNA, 18 nt
Filed under: Arabidopsis thaliana (thale cress)
Lineage: Eukaryota; Viridiplantae; Streptophyta; Magnoliopsida; Brassicales; Brassicaceae
Description: snRNA_17610
Source: RNAcentral
AGAUAACGCAGGUGUCCU